RNAcentral lists this ribosomal RNA (67 nucleotides) under Vibrio splendidus. RNAcentral's name for it is "partial 16S ribosomal RNA". It matches the Rfam family "Bacterial small subunit ribosomal RNA", at positions 1467 to 1533 of the family's 1533-position model. Lineage: Bacteria; Pseudomonadati; Pseudomonadota; Gammaproteobacteria; Vibrionales; Vibrionaceae. The record is from RNAcentral. RNAcentral also lists the same sequence under 15 other names.
GUUCAUGACUGGGGUGAAGUCGUAACAAGGUAGCCCUAGGGGAACCUGGGGCUGGAUCACCUCCUUA